AAGCUCAGUAACACGUGGCCAAACUACCCUGUGGAUGGGAACAAUCUCGGGAAACUGAGGCUAAUUCCCAAUAACGCUCCACCCCUGGAACGGGCGGAGCUGGAAACGCUACGGCGCCACAGGAUGUGGCUGCGGUCGAUUAGGUAGACGGUGGGGUAACGGCCCACCGUGCCAAUAAUCGGUACGGGUUGUGAGAGCAAGAGCCCGGAGACGGAAUCUGAGACAAGAUUCCGGGCCCUACGGGGCGCAGCAGGCGCGAAACCUUUACACUGUACGCAAGUGCGAUAAGGGGACUCCGAGUGUGAAGGCAUAGAGCCUUCACUUUUGUACACCGUAAGGUGGUGUACGAAUAAGGGCUGGGCAAGACCGGUGCCAGCCGCCGCGGUAAUACCGGCAGCCCGAGUGAUGGCCGAUAUUAUUGGGCCUAAAGCGUCCGUAGCUGGCCGGACAAGUCCGUUGGGAAAUCUGUUCGCUUAACGAGCAGGCGUCCAGCGGAAACUGUUCGGCUUGGGACCGGAAGACCUGAGGGGUACGUCCGGGGUAGGAGUGAAAUCCUGUAAUCCUGGACGGACCACCGGUGGCGAAAGCGCCUCAGGAGGACGGAUCCGACAGUGAGGGACGAAAGCUAGGGUCUCGAACCGGAUUAGAUACCCGGGUAGUCCUAGCUGUAAACGAUGCCCGCUAGGUGUGGCGCAGGCUACGAGCCUGCGCUGUGCCGU
Molecule: ribosomal RNA, 719 nt
Filed under: Halobacterium sp.
Lineage: Archaea; Methanobacteriati; Methanobacteriota; Halobacteria; Halobacteriales; Halobacteriaceae
Description: bacterial SSU rRNA
Rfam family: Archaeal small subunit ribosomal RNA
Source: RNAcentral